This 255-nucleotide ribosomal RNA is filed under the name uncultured bacterium. RNAcentral describes it as "partial 16S ribosomal RNA". It matches the Rfam family "Bacterial small subunit ribosomal RNA", at positions 524 to 776 of the family's 1533-position model. The record is from RNAcentral.
UACGUAGGGUGCAAGCGUUAAUCGGAAUUACUGGGCGUAAAGCGUGCGCAGGCGGUUUUGUAAGUCAGAUGUGAAAUCCCCGGGCUUAACCUGGGAACUGCGUUUGAAACUACAAGGCUAGAGUGUGGCAGAGGGGGGUGGAAUUCCACGGUGUAGCAGUGAAAUGCGUAGAGAUGUGGAGGAACACCGAUGGCGAAGGCAGCCCCCCUGGGUUAACACUGACGCUCAGGCACGAAAGCGUGGGGAGCAAACAGG